Molecule: long non-coding RNA, 221 nt
Filed under: Gallus gallus (chicken)
Lineage: Eukaryota; Metazoa; Chordata; Aves; Galliformes; Phasianidae
Source: RNAcentral
UCCAAAGAUAUCCUGAAGCUCAGGGUCUCGUAAGAGCCAUCAUGAGGAGAAAGAAAUGGUCAGAGAAUGUUCACAGUUAAUAUUUUGGAUGUUACAACGUGUGACAUGCCUGUGUGGCCCCAGAAAUGCCAUUUUGCCACAGAAUUUGUAAGAAAAUGCAUAUAACCAACCACGAGUGGACCCAAAACUGAAGAAGGGGAAAUUACCACUACAGAUGUUAU